RNAcentral lists this small nuclear RNA (179 nucleotides) under Capitella teleta. RNAcentral's name for it is "U1 spliceosomal RNA". It matches the Rfam family "U1 spliceosomal RNA". From Rfam's summary of the family: U1 is a small nuclear RNA (snRNA) component of the spliceosome (involved in pre-mRNA splicing). Its 5' end forms complementary base pairs with the 5' splice junction, thus defining the 5' donor site of an intron. Lineage: Eukaryota; Metazoa; Annelida; Polychaeta; Capitellidae. The record is from RNAcentral.
UUGUCUACAGUUCUAGGAUGUGAAUGGACGGGAGCACUGUAGACUCUAAGCCAAUCAGAUCCUAGAGAUCGAUUGUAGACAUUCCAUCGCUGUAUUCUAACCUCUGCGAGCACCCCAAAUGUGGGUGACUCGGGCGCGUUAUUUUUGCUAGUGGUGGACUGCGUUCGCGCUAUCCACUG